This 253-nucleotide unclassified non-coding RNA is filed under the name uncultured Gammaproteobacteria bacterium. RNAcentral describes it as "contains 16S-23S intergenic spacer region". It matches the Rfam family "Bacterial small subunit ribosomal RNA", at positions 524 to 776 of the family's 1533-position model. Lineage: Bacteria; Pseudomonadati; Pseudomonadota; Gammaproteobacteria. The record is from RNAcentral.
UACAGAGAGUGCAAGCGUUAAUCGGAAUUACUGGGCGUAAAGCGCACGUAGGUGGAUAUUUAAGUUGGAUGUGAAACCCCUGGGCUUAACCUAGGAAUUGCAUUCAAUACUGGGUGUCUAGAGUAUAGUAGAGGGAAGUGGAAUUUCUGGUGUAGCGGUGAAAUGCGUAGAUAUCAGAAGGAACAUCAGUGGCGAAAGCGGCUUCCUGGACUAAUACUGACACUUAGGUGCGAAAGCGUGGGGAGCAAACAGG